This is a long non-coding RNA of Artibeus jamaicensis (Jamaican fruit-eating bat), 737 nucleotides long. RefSeq lists it as uncharacterized. Lineage: Eukaryota; Metazoa; Chordata; Mammalia; Chiroptera; Phyllostomidae. The record is from RefSeq and is a predicted model, not a curated record. The transcript is spliced from 3 exons.
CCCCCCUCUUUCACCGAGCGCUGCCGGGGCUGAGGAAUUCAUCUUCACAGCUGGGGAGGACCUGAGUGAGGAGCCGCUGCUGCCUGAGCCAGGCCCGGACCAGAGGCCCCACUUGAACCGCUGCUGUCACCGCUGCUGUCGUGGGGACCCCCCUGACACCAGGCCAGGAAGAGAGCCUCGCUGCCUGCCGGAGGGCCCCUCGUGCCCACAGACGUCUGAGCAGAGACGACUGGCUGUCCUGAGCGCAAUUCAAUUCAACAGACAUUUACUGAGUGCCUACUAUGCGCCAGGCCUUAGGCUAGGCACUGGGGUGGGGGAGCAGAGAGGAAGAUGAGGGUCCCAUCCUCAGGUAGCUCUGGGUUGGGGGGCUCGGGGAGGACAGGCAAGGGCUGAACAGCAGCUUAGGUCCAGGAGAGAAGCUGCCUGCUGGGCUGGAAGCAGCAGAUACCUGGGUUCAGGUACAUCCCUGGGGAGCUUCUGUCCCUCGGCUGUGCCUCAGUUUGCCCAUCUGUAAAACAGGGGGAGAAGAGCUGGGGUAAAGCAAUCCCUAGGAUCUUUCCAGGAUUCCAUGAGGAUGGACUAGGGGAUGGGGGUAGAGCAGGGAAGCUACCGCUCCCUGCAGAGAUCUCUGAAAGCUUCUCAGAGGAGGAGGCAUGAAGUCUGGGCUACAGAGGGUGGGGAAGUGUGGGAAUGGCACCCCAGGCUCGGGAACAGCGUGAGCAAAGGCCCAGGGAACA